UCAUAGUACGUGAAACUGCUUAGAGGUUAAGCCCGAUGAACCUGAAUAUCCUUAUGAAAAAUUCAUCAUUAUAACUGUGGUAUUUAAUUUUAAAUAUCAUAAUAAUAGUGUGCAUUUUUUUCAUAUAAGGACAUUGUAAUCUAUUAACAUAAUAAAGUAUUUAUCAAAAGAUCAUUGGUUUUAAGUUUAUUCAAAUUAAUUUGCUUUUAGCUUAUUAACAUAGAAUAAAUACUGAUGAUUUGAUAAAGUGUUGAUAGAUUUUAUUAUAUAUAAUGCUAAAAUUCUUUUGAAUUUUACAAUAAUAUUAUUAUCAUUGAUUUUAAUAUUAAUUGUAUGCAUUUAUAUGAUUAACAAUGCGAAAGAUUCAGGAUACCUUCGGGACCCGUCUUGAAACACGGACCAAGGAGUCUAACAUAUGUGCAAGUCAUUGGGUUAUAUUAAACCUAAUGGCGUAAUUAACUUAACUGUAUGGGAUUAAUUUUUAGUGUAUUACACUAUUAAUUCAAUCCCGGGGCGUUCCAUAUAGUUAUGUAUAAUGAUAAUUUAUUAUUAUUUAUACCUCUAACUGGAGCGUACCUUGAGCAUAUAUGCUGUGACCCGAAAGAUGGUGAACUAUACUUGAUCAGGUUGAAGUCAGGGGAAACCCUGAUGGAAGACCGAAACAGUUCUGACGUGCAAAUCGAUUGUCAGAAUUGAGUAUAGGGGCGAAAGACCAAUCGAACCAUCUGUACUG
This 733-nucleotide ribosomal RNA is filed under the name Bactrocera tryoni complex sp. PHEL-9. RNAcentral's name for it is "partial 28S ribosomal RNA". It matches the Rfam family "Eukaryotic large subunit ribosomal RNA", at positions 390 to 953 of the family's 3401-position model. The record is from RNAcentral. Lineage: Eukaryota; Metazoa; Arthropoda; Insecta; Diptera; Tephritidae.